AAUUUAUAACAACGGUGGAAUAUGUGGUUUAAUUCGAUAAUCCACGCAAAAUCUUACCAAUAUAAACUUUUAAGUUUUUAUUUUUUUAAUAAAAAAUAUGAAAUAUUUUUAAUCGGUAUUGCAUGGCUGUCGUCAGUUCUUGUUGUGAAAUGUAAAAUUAAGUUUUAUAUUAGUUUGAACGUAAGCUUAUUUUUAAAUUAUUAAUAUUACAAUUAUUAAUAUUUAAAAUAUAAAUAUAGUUUUAAGUUGAAGUCAAGUCAAUAUGGUCCUUAUAUAUUGGGCUACACAUGUAUUACAAAGGUAAAAACAAUAAGUUACUAGAAUGUAAAUUGGAGUUAAUCUUUAAAAAUUACCUUAAUUCAGAUUAUUUUAUGUAACUCUAAAAUAUGAAGAUGGAAUCGUUAGUAAUUGUAUUUUAUUAUAGUAUAGUGAAUUUAAAUUUAAAUUUUGCACACACUGCCCAUCACGCUUGGAAAAUAUUUUAAUCCUUAGUAUUUUUAUUUUUUUGGUAUUAUUAUAUUUAUAUUUAAAAAUAAAAAUAUACAGAAUUAUUAUGUAAUUU
RNAcentral lists this ribosomal RNA (562 nucleotides) under Histiobalantium minor. RNAcentral's name for it is "partial small subunit ribosomal RNA". The stretch from base 1 to 471 matches the Rfam family "Bacterial small subunit ribosomal RNA", at positions 918 to 1533 of the family's 1533-position model. Lineage: Eukaryota; Ciliophora; Oligohymenophorea; Pleuronematida; Histiobalantiidae. The record is from RNAcentral.